This 929-nucleotide ribosomal RNA is filed under the name uncultured Planctomycetaceae bacterium. Its description in RNAcentral is "bacterial SSU rRNA". It matches the Rfam family "Bacterial small subunit ribosomal RNA", at positions 56 to 988 of the family's 1533-position model. The record is from RNAcentral. Lineage: Bacteria; Pseudomonadati; Planctomycetota; Planctomycetia; Planctomycetales; Planctomycetaceae.
UGCAAGUCGAGCGAGAAGGAAAUCAAAGUUUACUUUGGUUUCCGGAAAGCGGCGCAAGGGAGAGUAACGCGUAGUUAUCUACCCCAAGGCCCGGAAUAGCUGCGGGAAACUGCAGGUAAUGCCGGAUAAUAUCCCCGGAUCAAAGGUGUGAUUCCGCCUUGGGAGGAGACUGCGUUGUACUAGCUUGUUGGUAGGGUAAUGGCCUACCAAGGCUACGAUGCAUAGCGGGCGUGAGAGCGUGGCCCGUCUCACUGGGACUGAAACACUGCCCAGACACCUACGGGUGGCUGCAGUCGAGAAUCUUCGGCAAUGGGCGAAAGCCUGACCGAGCAAUGCCGCGUGCGGGAUGAAGGCCCUCGGGUUGUAAACCGCUGUCGUAGGGGAGAAAGGUCUCAUGAAGAAUGAGAUUUGAUCUAUCCUAGGAGGAAGUCCGGGCUAAGUUCGUGCCAGCAGCCGCGGUAACACGAACCGGACAAACGUUAUUCGGAAUUAUUGGGCUUAAAGGGUGCGUAGGCGGUGCGGUAAGUGAGGUGUGAAAGCCCUCGGCUCAACCGAGGAAUUGCGCUUCAUACUGCCGUGCUGGAGGGAGACAGAGGUAAGCGGAACUGAUGGUGGAGCGGUGAAAUGCGUUGAUAUCAUCAGGAACACCGGUGGCGAAAGCGGCUUACUGGGUCUCUACUGACGCUGAGGCACGAAAGCUAGGGUAGCGAACGGGAUUAGAUACCCCGGUAGUCCUAGCCGUAAACGAUGAGCACUUGAUUGAGGGCCCCCCCAUAGGCUCUCGAUCGCAGCGAAAGUGUUAAGUGCUCCGCCUGGGGAGUAUGGUCGCAAGGCUGAAACUCAAAGGAAUUGACGGGGGCUCACACAAGCGGUGGAGGAUGUGGCUUAAUUCGAGGCUACGCGAAGAACCUUAUCCAGGCCUUGACAUG